Molecule: ribosomal RNA, 84 nt
Filed under: uncultured fungus
Lineage: Eukaryota; Fungi
Description: partial 18S ribosomal RNA
Source: RNAcentral
CCCAGAGAGGUCGGCAACGACCACUCAGGGCCGGAAAGCUAUCCAAACUCGGUCAUUUAGAGGAAGUAAAAGUCGUAACAAGGU